Salvia hispanica is the source of this 589-nucleotide long non-coding RNA. RefSeq lists it as uncharacterized. Lineage: Eukaryota; Viridiplantae; Streptophyta; Magnoliopsida; Lamiales; Lamiaceae. The record is from RefSeq and is a predicted model, not a curated record.
UCUCUGUAAAUCUCAAAGGUCCAAUUUGUUAAAAAAAUGGCUAUGCAACCAGAUGAGAGAAACCCUGGAGAAAAUGUUACAAAGUUCUGCACAAUGAUUUUAUCCGAUCAACAAUCACACAUGAUCUUUCCAGAAAGAUUUCAAACACAUUUUCAAGGUGAGCUAGGCCCAACAUGUCAACUUGAAAACAGGCAAAAAUUCUGGACAGUAGAAGUCUAACUACUUCCAUACGGAAAAAUGUGCUUGGAUGAUGGAUGGCAGAAAUUCCACAAGGAUAACGAUUUGAAAGCUGGAGAUGUCUUGACUUUUCAUCUGAAUUCACCCAAUUCUUUCUACGUAGAUAUAUAUGAUGGUGCUACGCAAUGUUGUAAACGCCAAAAACCACAAUGAGUGAUGAUAGAUGACAAAUGGAAUGUUUUGAAGAAUUGCUGAUCAGGUAAUUAAAUUUUAAAAACUAUAAUUUGUGGAACAAACAAUAUGUAUUUUUAAUUGAUUAUGUUUUAAGUACUCUACCGUAGUGACAAUAUCAAGUAUGUACUCAUCAAUUAACAUCUAUUUUAAAUUAUAUUUAUGAUGCAAUUAUCGAUAA